This 783-nucleotide ribosomal RNA is filed under the name uncultured bacterium. RNAcentral describes it as "bacterial SSU rRNA". It matches the Rfam family "Bacterial small subunit ribosomal RNA", at positions 77 to 862 of the family's 1533-position model. The record is from RNAcentral.
GCUAAGGCCGAUGGCGACCGGCGCACGGGUGAGUAACACGUAUCCAACCUGCCGUCUACUCUUGGACAGCCUUCUGAAAGGAAGAUUAAUACAAGAUGGCAUCAUGAGUCCGCAUGUUCACAUGAUUAAAGGUAUUCCGGUAGACGAUGGGGAUGCGUUCCAUUAGAUAGUAGGCGGGGUAACGGCCCACCUAGUCUUCGAUGGAUAGGGGUUCUGAGAGGAAGGUCCCCCACAUUGGAACUGAGACACGGUCCAAACUCCUACGGGAGGCAGCAGUGAGGAAUAUUGGUCAAUGGGCGAGAGCCUGAACCAGCCAAGUAGCGUGAAGGAUGACUGCCCUAUGGGUUGUAAACUUCUUUUAUAAAGGAAUAAAGUCGGGUAUGGAUACCCGUUUGCAUGUACUUUAUGAAUAAGGAUCGGCUAACUCCGUGCCAGCAGCCGCGGUAAUACGGAGGAUCCGAGCGUUAUCCGGAUUUAUUGGGUUUAAAGGGAGCGUAGAUGGAUGUUUAAGUCAGUUGUGAAAGUUUGCGGCUCAACCGUAAAAUUGCAGUUGAUACUGGAUAUCUUGAGUGCAGUUGAGGCAGGCGGAAUUCGUGGUGUAGCGGUGAAAUGCUUAGAUAUCACGAAGAACUCCGAUUGCGAAGGCAGCCUGCUAAGCUGCAACUGACAUUGAGGCUCGAAAGUGUGGGUAUCAAACAGGAUUAGAUACCCUGGUAGUCCACACGGUAAACGAUGAAUACUCGCUGUUUGCGAUAUACUGCAAGCGGCCAAGCGAAAGCGUUA